AAUCAGUUAGCAAAACUAUGCAUUUGAUUUAGGCUCAAAAGAUAGGGUCUCACUCCCUACUGAUUA
Molecule: transfer RNA, 66 nt
Filed under: Orbinia latreillii
Lineage: Eukaryota; Metazoa; Annelida; Polychaeta; Orbiniidae
Description: tRNA-Leu
Source: RNAcentral